RNAcentral lists this ribosomal RNA (558 nucleotides) under uncultured bacterium. Its description in RNAcentral is "partial 16S ribosomal RNA". It matches the Rfam family "Bacterial small subunit ribosomal RNA", at positions 356 to 905 of the family's 1533-position model. The record is from RNAcentral.
UGGGGAAUUUGGACAAUGGGCGAAAGCCUGAUCCAGCAAUGCCGCGUGUGUGAAGAAGGCCUUCGGGUUGUAAAGCACUUUUGUCCGGAAAGAAAUCCUUGGCUCUAAUACAGUCGGGGGAUGACGGUACCGGAAGAAUAAGCACCGGCUAACUACGUGCCAGCAGCCGCGGUAAUACGUAGGGUGCAAGCGUUAAUCGGAAUUACUGGGCGUAAAGCGUGCGCAGGCGGUUUGCUAAGACCGAUGUGAAAUCCCCGGGCUCAACCUGGGAACUGCAUUGGUGACUGGCAGGCUAGAGUAUGGCAGAGGGGGGUAGAAUUCCACGUGUAGCAGUGAAAUGCGUAGAGAUGUGGAGGAAUACCGAUGGCGAAGGCAGCCCCCUGGGCCAAUACUGACGCUCAUGCACGAAAGCGUGGGGGAGCAAAACAGGAUUAGAUACCCUGGUAGUCCACGCCCUAAACGAUGUCAACUAGUUGUUGGGGAUUCAUUUCCUUAGUAACGUAGCUAACGCGUGAAGUUGACCGCCUGGGGAGUACGGUCGCAAGAUUAAAACUCAAA